Long non-coding RNA from Bombus huntii, 3561 nucleotides. RefSeq lists it as uncharacterized. The transcript is spliced from 3 exons. Lineage: Eukaryota; Metazoa; Arthropoda; Insecta; Hymenoptera; Apidae. The record is from RefSeq and is a predicted model, not a curated record.
UAUAUAUAUAUAUAUGCUAAGAGUUUUAGCGGUAAAUCAGUUAGCAAGGAAAAGUAGAAUUCUCAAGUAGUCGAGGAAAUGGUUACAAGUUUUGGGAAAUUUCUAACCUAGAUAAAACAAAGUUCUUGCGGACCCUUCUCGUGUGUAAACAUAUUAUACAAGUAGAGUAACCAUUAUUUAAAUUGUUUCAAGAAUACUUGCAGUGGCGUAAAGGAAGAUCUUCUAAAAAUAUGUUGUUCCAUAAUUCACGGGCAGAGAAUGUUUACGUAUUUUUCAAGUCGUUAGUAUCGAUCGCCGUACUUCAAAGCUGACCCCAGUCAAGCUCCCAAUACAUCUUCCUUAAAAUAUAUUAUCUCACUGACGAAUAAAUUUUUGAAACCUGACUUGGCCGAUUUAUUCGAUAUUUAUCGAUUUGAUUAUGUCAUCGAAUAUUAAUUGACUCGAACGAGAAAAGAAGAAAUUUACACAAACGAUUAUUUACAAGCAAAGUUUCCCAAAAGUUAAAUUAGUUUUGGAAAAACAACUGUCGCAAGUUACCUAUAUCAUUCUAUUUUUUAAUAGCUGAAAUGAUCGUCAUUCGGACGGAAAUUUUGACGCGGAAUAGAAAAAAAACAAGCGUUUUAAUAUCGAUGAGGAAGGAGAUUUAAAAGUGUUUAGUUAUAUUUAAAUAAUUUCAUACUUCCAAUACUCUAAUAAUAUAAUAUCUGGCUAACUUGCUGCAUUAUUCUGUUUAAAGAGGGAGAGACAGAGAUAGGGGAAGGGAGAUACCCACUAUUUCCAAGGAACGUAGUUUGAGCGGAAACGGAAGCUCUAAAAUACAGAUGUAGAAUUAUGGAAACCGAUAGGAUAUCCAUAAAAUAUCAUUAACCAGCACGGUUAUUGGAAGCGUGAACACAACAGUAAUUAUAACCAGGAAUCACGAGAAUGUAAUGGGAACAGACAAUAACCGCGAGAGAUUAUUAAUGCAUUCUAUUAUACUUAACAAAGUCUGAAUUGGGUUCCACUGAACGCAUCUUGUCACAAACUUAAGUUCGAUUGCGAAUUCGUGCCGUUGAAAUCAAAUUUUAACACGUUGAUUGCUAUGUUUGCAUAAAACCACCAAAAAGUCAGGUAAUUUAACUAGUAUCUAGUACCUAUUCUAUUUUACAGAUCUUAAAAUAGAUAUUCUUAUUACCAUUAAAUGAAAUUGAGAGAAGUGUGUGUUUUUUGAUAUAUUCACUUCGAUAUCGUUCGAUAAACGUAUCGACGUCAUUUUUUCCACCAUACUUUUCAAUAAUCUAACGUGUGUUAAAUAUUGUAUAGUUAAGUAUAUCAUACUUAAUCAUUGAAGAAUACAUUAAGUAGUCCCUUCUCACGAAAUUAGAAUAUAUAUAGUUUGUCUGAUUAAUUAGUCCAUACGAAACAUUGCGCGUGGCCAUUUAAACUCGUUCCACAAACAAGCAAUCGUUCAAACAAGAAUUCCUUUAAUCAAGGAAAACUAGCGCAGUCCCUGAAGUAAAACUUUCACGCGCGGUACGUUUAAUUCUGCAUCUUUUCAUUUCAACUGUCCUUCCGACCAAGUAAUCUUCGCCAAGUAAUUCCGAUGAAACGUUAACACGCGGCUCUUCAAGCUAUCUUGUCAUAUCAUGUCUCGCGAGUGCUACUCUGUAGUUUCUAGCUGGAUGGAUCGUGUAUACGAUUCGAAGUCGCGGAUAAAAGACGAAUCGAGCUAGUAGAGGGUUAAAGAAAGCGAAAAGGGAAAGAUAAGGCGAACAGAUUGUCUGACGAAACGAGGAGAAAAAGGCAAGGUACGUCUCUCGAUUAUGCAUGCUUUCCUGACGCAAGAACUGGGCUAAUGGUUAGUAUUCUAGAGAAUUAUCGUUGCAGACUAAUUGCGCCCAUGCUGGCUGUUGCCCAACUGCUCUCGCUGCGGAAUGUUUCUAUUCAGUGUCUCUUUGUGUGUCAAUGAGGAAACACUUAUAUCAAGAAGUGUGAUGUACACUGGAUGUUAAAAGCAAGCAUAUGUUUGAGAGUUUAACGUUCUGUCAACUGUAUGUAACUUUCCUAAGUAUCGAACAAGCUUGAGCAAAUUGAAUUUGAAAUAAAAAUAAGGAAGAUAAUUUCAAAUAAUGAAUCAUCUCAAAUAGGUACCUUGUUAUUUUCAUUUUAAAGAUAACACGGGCAAAGUAAUUUUAUUUCUAUUAAGAACGAACAAGACAUCCUGUACGUUCUUUAUUAGACUACUCUGUAAUUUGAAAUCAUACGAAUAAAAUAGAACAUCGCUAAACGUCCGCCGUACCAUUCGAUAGCUUGACAAAGCUCGGUCAUUCAAUCACACGAAUCACCGUAAUUCAUCGCAAUCUAGAAAUCUACUCAAGGACGGUUCAUCAAAGGUUUCGAGUCGCUUCAAACGAAGCCGGAAGAGAGGAUGACAAAAAGAAUGAGCGAAACAAGCAGUCGUGUCGUGGACGAGCUCGCGAGCGUGUGUCAGUAGAAAUCCGUGUAUCCGAUACCUUUUUAAUUAAUUUCAUAUUCUCUCGUCUCUCUGUCAUAUAUUCCAUGGGCAAGAGAAAGAAGCACAGCCAGUGAAAGAGGGACAGCCAUCCAAAGAGGCUUCGCCAAUUCAGCUGGAUGAGCAACGAGCUUAAAAGCUGACUCAGUCGUCCAACCAAGCAGACAGACGUGCGUGUACAUGUAUAUACAGAUACACGGAAAGAGACACAGAUAUACUGUACGAAUACAAAGGAAAUUCGUAUACAGGUGUGAACCACAGGAACACACAGAGUCAAGCAGGACACGUUUGCACGAGCGAUUGUGAAUUUCCACGAGACGGUUUGUCCUUUGAGCCUUGCUGCGUUGGCCGGCAAAGGGAAGAUGAAGGAGCUCGUAAUUUUCCGAGCUCCGCGUUUCAGCUCGCGCGGCUAUUUUCUGCGGUUCACGCGUAUUAUGCAACCGACCCGACUUGAACUGGCACGAGCUUACACGCCUGGCGUGCUUCCACUGUAUUCUCUGUUUCGAUUCUGUGUGUGAGUUCGCGCGGGUAUGCGUGAGAGAGAGAGAGAGAGAGAGGGAGAGAUCGCGCAUUCAGGAACCACUGAUGAACGCGUGCAUAUUCAACGCGCGACUCAAAGGGUGCUUUUGCAUUCCGUUACAUGUGCCCGGGAUGUAUCAAGAAUUUGGUGGAACUGAAACACCGAGGAACGGAGCAAUGGAGAACUAUACGCGGAAAUUGCUGCGGGCACGUAACAAAAUUUGUCAGGAGAUGAGAUUUUCAGCGAAGGCAGUUAUGUACGCCGUAAGAAUGAAUGGCCGACCGGUGGAAAACGAGUUCUCGCAGUGCUAACAAUAAGAGCCCGUCCGUUUUCCUGAUGAAAGGGAUUUCCAACAUUUCAUAUAGACGGAUCCUCAUAAACGGAAUGCUAUUACGGAGCAAUAAUCGAAUACGUUGUCGAUAAAGCAGAAAGAACUACUUGGCCAAUAGAUAUAUUCAAAAUUGUUGAGGUUGAGGCUGACUGAUUGAAGAACGAGUGGAUGAAUUUGUAAUAGAAAAAUAUAUUGAAAUAAUUAAAGGUAUAAGUAUAA